CACGUAGGCACCAAGCGUUGUCCGGAUUUAUUGGGCGUAAAGAGCUCGUAGGCGGUUCAGUAAGUCGGGUGUGAAAACUCUGGGCUCAACCCAGAGACGCCACCCGAUACUGCUGUGACUUGAGUACGGUAGGGGAGUGGGGAAUUCCUGGUGUAGCGGUGAAAUGCGCAGAUAUCAGGAGGAACACCAGUGGCGAAGGCGGGUCUCUGGGCCGAUACUGACGCUGAGGAGCGAAAGCGUGGGGAGCGAACAGG
Molecule: ribosomal RNA, 254 nt
Filed under: uncultured bacterium
Lineage: Bacteria
Description: partial 16S ribosomal RNA
Rfam family: Bacterial small subunit ribosomal RNA
Source: RNAcentral